This 68-nucleotide transfer RNA is filed under the name Eremias przewalskii. Its description in RNAcentral is "tRNA-Trp". Lineage: Eukaryota; Metazoa; Chordata; Lepidosauria; Squamata; Lacertidae. The record is from RNAcentral.
AGAAACUUAGGUUAACUUCAAACCAGAGGCCUUCAAAGCCUCAAAUAGGGUUUACCCCCUAGUCUCUG